Molecule: ribosomal RNA, 450 nt
Filed under: uncultured bacterium
Lineage: Bacteria
Description: partial 16S ribosomal RNA
Rfam family: Bacterial small subunit ribosomal RNA
Source: RNAcentral
GUGGGGAAUAUUGGACAAUGGGCGAAAGCCUGAUCCAGCCAUGCCGCGUGUGUGAAGAAGGUCUUCGGAUUGUAAAGCACUUUAAGUUGGGAGGAAGGGCAGUAAGUUAAUACCUUGCUGUUUUGACGUUACCGACAGAAUAAGCCCCGGCUAACUUCGUGCCAGCAGCCGCGGUAAUACGAAGGGGGCGAGCGUUAUUCGGAAUCACUGGGCGUAAAGCGUGCGUAGGUGGUUUUGUAAGUUGGAGGUGAAAUCCCCGGGCUCAACCUGGGAACUGCCUCCAAAACUGCAUGACUAGAGUACGGUAGAGGGUAGUGGAAUUUCCUGUGUAGCGGUGAAAUGCGUAGAUAUAGGAAGGAACACCAGUGGCGAAGGCGACUACCUGGACUGAUACUGACACUGAGGUGCGAAAGCGUGGGGAGCAAACAGGAUUAGAAACCCGGGUAGUCC